UUUUGUUGCAUGCAAUUGCAACUGCCCUGCAACUAUAAGUAUAUAUAAAUACAAAUUUGAUAUUUGAUUUGAUAUAUUUAACUUCAACUAUUAAAGUAAGAAUUACAGGAGGAAGUCUAACUGUAGCAGUUGGAAUUACGCUCAAAUUGACCGCAGUUUUAAAUGCAGCAGUUAGAGAGAGUAACUUUAAAUAAAAGAUAAGAUUACCUUCCUAAUUAUUGUUUAAAGAAAAUAUAUGUACAUAUUUUUACAUUGGAAAUAAUCUCACCGUCAUAUAUAUAAAAUGAUAAAAUUUUAAAAAUUAUUUCUCAGCUACAUACAACUAAAUAAAUUAUUUAUAGUUAGAACGAUUUCUACUACAUUGAACCAAACAUAAUGCAUAUAGUUACAAUUACUGUAUUUUCAACUGUAUACAUUUUCAACGACACUGUAUUUAUAAUUACAUCUAAUCAAAUGGUCCCUUAAUAAAACUAAUUGUUAAAUUUGAUGAAUCAAAGGAAAAGAAGAAGAAUCAGAAAG
This 519-nucleotide long non-coding RNA is filed under the name Ananas comosus (pineapple). RNAcentral's name for it is "long non-coding RNA (ACOM_LNC002646)". The record is from RNAcentral. Lineage: Eukaryota; Viridiplantae; Streptophyta; Magnoliopsida; Poales; Bromeliaceae.